CUGAUUAGGGUGGCCAUUUUAAUACCCACUCUCAAGGCUGGAGCAGCAGUUUACUGCCAGCCAGCAAGGGAGAAACAUCACCUGGCUGAGUUACUGCUCCAGGAACAGCUUGGAGUUAUUAAUUUCAUGUGCUAACCACUCCUGCUACAUAACCGUCAUGCUCAACUACAGAUCAUCAUCUUGUGUGAAGAAAAAAGAAGUACAGAUUUGGUUUGCAAAUGUUCUGGAGGUGGAUAUUAAACCAACAAACUCUGGUGGUUGCCUCUGGGAGGCCAUGUGCAUGCGCUGCUAAAACAUGUGGAGACAACAGCACAGCCAAGUUUGAAUUUGUUUUGUUCUCUUCUAAAAAGCCAAAUUAAUGAUUCAGAGAGAAAUACUAAACAAUAUUUUAAGUGGGUAAUUAUGGGGAAGUCUCUUUAUUUAAAGACACUUAUUGUAGAAGUAUUGCAACCAUCUGCACAUUUUGUUUUUACAGGAUGCUACUGACAAAUAUUGUACCACUCACACACAUAUGCAUGCACAUUAAGAACAUUUCUGCUACUUACAAAUCUGGAGGAAUUGUCAUUCUUCACGGUCUUGGCAUUUCCAAAAGCUUCAAGAAUAGGGUUUGCCUGUAGAAGCUGUUUUUCCAGCUCACCCUAAAAUUCAUUCAGACUCAGUUAACCCUGAACUCAGUAAUUAUUUAACUGAAAAACAGCAACUGUGUACCCUAGAGAAAAAAUCUCAAACAAUGUUGAUUGAAGCUUUUAAACAUACUAUUGCUUAUUAAUACACUUAAUGUGAGUUUGGUUCCAUUACUCUGUUAAUCAUUGUGUUUAUAAAAUGGUGCAGUUCAGUGUACUAAUGUUCUAUAUACAAGACCUUUUCCCAGCAGUGUUGGUUGCUUCAGAUCAAAGUCUGUUCAUCUUUUUAUCAGUACUUCUGGUUUGACUUAAUGAUAAGGGCCAGUCAGUGACAAUUAAUUUUUUUUUUAAUGUAUUACAAGGAAGAACGAUGCCUCUAGAGGAACCUGCUGAGAUAUUUUUCCAAGUUAGUGUACUGAGGUCCUUUGAUAGCACAUGAUGAUGUAAUUAGAAAAACUUGGUGAGAAUAAUUUUAAUAUAAUGCAACACAAAGCUACAAAGCAGAUUUCAUUGAGUCUAUUAAUAAUGUUAAAUGCAGGGCUAUUUAGGUUGAAUAUGGAAAUACAUUACUUUGUUUCAAAACAGAAUCAUGAAUUCUCAUGCAAACACACAAACACACUGUUAUAUUGUUAACUGUGAUGGUAACUGAUAAUUAAACAAGCCAAGCAAUGAAAGCAUGUAUGCACUUAAUAAUCCUGCUCCUAGACCAAACAAUGCUGAAAACAAUAACUCUGUCAAUGAUGUCAGCUUCUAAUGAAUUGCUAUGUUCUCAUUCUAAAUCUAUAUUACUUUCAUGUUCGAAAUCUAUAUUAACAUUUGCUUUUUCUCCUGCAGUAAUAGGCAACAUUGUAUAAAAUUCCAAUCAAAUAAACAGUUCCCUAAAAGCAGAAAACUUUCUAAGUAGAAGAAUAAUAGGAUUUUAUUAACACCAAUGUGAACAAGUAAUUAAGGCAGAAUUUGGACUGAGUUUAAGAGAAGCAAUUUAGAAAAUGACCAUUUGCCAACAACAGAAAAAUGCGGUCCAUAAAAGCUCUAUUUAUAAGGCUAUUCUUGAUAUAAAGCUACUGACUGUUGUUCUAAACACCACUGCAAACAUUCUAGAUAUCUCACAUUUUGUGUGAAAGUAAAGAAGCUUGACUGUAAAAAAGAGUCAACUGAUCAUUAUCUCCCUGCUAAAUUCUUCCGCAUGUACAUGAUAGGUGGAGAGAGGCAGGGUUGCCGAUUAGAUAUUUAGUCCGUAGCUAAUGGUCUAAACAAGGCUGCAUUAUGAAAAUACCUAUCUAGUAGCUGAAAGAGGAAGAGAGAUUAGCAAACGAACAAGUUAACACAAGAACCCUGAAGUUAAAAAUAACUUCCUGCAAAUAAAAACUUGUGGAGAGUGGACAAUGCUGUCUGAACAAGGCUGCUACUGGGCUUCACCAUACAAUUCUUUUAGAUAAUACUUCUCAAUUAUAACAACCCCACUGUUGCAAGAGUGGGUGUAAACCCAUUAGAAGCAUAGGAUAUUACUGAAGUCACUUCAUUAGCUGAUCAGUAUAAAAAGAACCUUCCAUGGGCCGCUAAAGAUGGAAGAAGACCCAUAGUCUCCUACUGCAAGCUUGCUACAUUGUUCAGUUAUGGUUAUAUAAUUUCGAGUCCUAAUUGUUAGCUAGUGUAUGCCUGUGACCUUUACAAAACCUCAAGACUUACCUAUGCCUGAACUGAAUUUAUUCCAUCAUAGAAAGAAAUGGAAUGAGAGAUAUUUCCAGUAGCUUGGCAAAUGAAGGACCAACUACAGUCAUAAAUAAAGGAGAGAAAGCCUGAGUAGAAUCUCUCAAACUACCUCACAUCCCAAGAAACACGCUGAUGGCAUCUCAGAAGUCAAAAUAGAGCCCUUUCAUAUUGUUACUUAUUGCAGGAGUAAGUUGGAGAACAUGCAGUUUUGCAGACAUGCAUAAUGCUCAACAAGUUACAUGAAAAUGCAGAAUUGUAAGCAAUAUCAAAUGGAAACCAUGCAGCCAAAGUUACAAAUCAAUCACACACUGUGAUGAUUUGGCAGUUAUUUCACAACAGUCCUAAAAAGUUCAACCUGAAGCAAAGAGUAUUUCCAUUAAUAAAUUAUAUGGUCAAAUUUCAGGCUGAUUGGCUCUUUCAGGAUCGUGAGAAAAUUCAUUCAAACUGCAAAAAUUUGAACACACACAUAUAGAACACAGUGAUAUUUGAAAGACAACCCUCCAUGUGUCAGACCUCAUCCUUUAUCAUGGAGCCUGACACAGUUAGGGCCAAUACAUGUGAACAUUUGGUGCUAUUGUUGCUUUUUGUCAUGUGAUACAAUAUAUAUUCCAACAAAAACCACUUCUGAUUUUUUUGGGUGCAACAAUAGCAUGCAGAUCUACACUCAGUGCCUUAAACACACAUCGAACAGUCUAAGUUACUCACGUAAGAAAAAGAUGGACCUUGCUGUAUUGAAUAACAUGAUAUAAAACAAAUGUCAGUAUUUUUUUCCAUCACAUACAUGUUUUUGUUUCUUCCUAUAUAAAAACAACCAACACACAGUUUCGCUAUGCAAAUUAAACCAGGAGAAAACGAAUGACAAGAAUUUGUUGUAGACAUACAGGGAGUUCAGCCACAGCUAAUGUACACAUCAUUUUAAGAGAAGCUGAAUGUACAAGAUUUAACCAAAGCUCAGUCAGAUCAAUUGGAUUCUUUCAUUACGCUGAAUAGACUUUGGAUCAGGCCCCAAAUUAGUCUCUCAAUGAGAGCACCAAGGAGAAAAUUGUUUAAGAUAAGUUCUUAAUCCUCCUAUGGGGCAUUUAAUGCAUCUAGAGAUUUGUAAAGAUUUCUAAAUGAUUUUAAGUGCUGUGUCAGCAGUCCCAGACAUAGGAAUCAUUUACUGGCCUACAGGACAGGAACCAGUUUGGCCUGCUGUGCACCAUCUUGCCUCAGGUCUAAUUUAGCAGGUUCCACCUUAGUGGGGAGAAGAUAGACCAGUCUCAUGGCAUAUUUAUUCUUGAGCCUCUGAUGAGUCUUUCAGAAAAUGCAUCAUUUAGCCCCAGCUGGACUGGCAUUGUGGCAAUGUGGCCAUUUAUCCAUUAGAAACAGCAUUGAAACCAUCAGUUCAUUUCACGAUCACUGAAUUUAUAUGCAUAGGAUGUCAGAAGUGCUCAGAACCUCAGGAAUAUCAGACCUUUGUUCUCAUUGACUUUCCACUAGGUACAAAGAUGGUGAGAGAUGACACACUGCACUCCAGAGAUGUGGAAAGUACUUUGGAAGGCCCCAGGGUACGCGGCAGUGGUGCGGAGAAGCCACCAGCACUUCUGGUUUUGCCGGUGGCACUUCUGGUUUCGCUGCCAUGUGCUGCAUGGGGGGGACCCCCCCCCACUCGUUGACCGGCUGCUGGGCCCUCCCUCCCCCCCGCUCGUCGACUGGCUGCCAGGAGACUCCCCACUUCUAGACCAGCCGCCAGGGAUACCCUGACCAAAAAAGGUUGAAAACCCCUGGGCUACACAAUCAUGAACUGUUUUACAACUUCUAAUUGUUAUCAGACUAGGCUAGGUUUUAAGUGAUGACUUGUGGAAAAGAAAAUGGUUCAUUUUCUAUUUUCUAGCUGCACAAUCUAUUAGGAUAAGCUCAAUUCAGCAUUCCUUGAGCAAUAAAAUCUAUUACUGAA
Alligator mississippiensis (American alligator) is the source of this 4272-nucleotide long non-coding RNA. RefSeq lists it as uncharacterized. NCBI's taxonomy places the organism in Eukaryota, Metazoa, Chordata, Crocodylia, Alligatoridae. The record is from RefSeq and is a predicted model, not a curated record. The transcript has 2 exons.